RNAcentral lists this long non-coding RNA (209 nucleotides) under Phoenix dactylifera (date palm). RNAcentral's name for it is "long non-coding RNA (PDAC_LNC008741)". The record is from RNAcentral. Lineage: Eukaryota; Viridiplantae; Streptophyta; Magnoliopsida; Arecales; Arecaceae.
AGGUCUUGUUCCCAGCUAACAGCAACACUCCCAGCCCCCGUAUCCCAUUCCGAAUCUAAGCUCCAUCUCUUCCGAACCAACCCAGCCAAAUUAAAUUCACAUCCUUCUCAGCAUGAUCCACGGGAUGGAUUCAGCUUCUUCCGCUAGAUCCCAGCAUCCUCUUCCUUCGGAAUAAAGUUCCAGCUCAUUCCCUCUUCUUCCGUGAUCCA